GUCGGGAAGCUCAGUGGUGGAGCGCCCGGCUCGAGACCGGGUGGACGCAGGUUCGAGCCCUGCCCCGACCG
Molecule: transfer RNA, 71 nt
Filed under: Streptomyces sp. SCUT-3
Lineage: Bacteria; Bacillati; Actinomycetota; Actinomycetes; Kitasatosporales; Streptomycetaceae
Description: tRNA-Ser
Rfam family: tRNA
About the family: Transfer RNA (tRNA) molecules are approximately 80 nucleotides in length.
Source: RNAcentral